CCUACGGGAUGCACCAGUGGGGAAUAUUGCACAAUGGGCGCAGGCCUGAUGCAGCCAUGCCGCGUGUAUGAAGAAGGCCUUCGGGUUGUAAAGUACUUUCAGCGGGGAGGAAGGUGUUGUGGUUAAUAACCGCAGCAAUUGACGUUACCCGCAGAAGAAGCACCGGCUAACUCCGUGCCAGCAGCCGCGGUAAUACGGAGGGUGCAAGCGUUAAUCGGAAUUACUGGGCGUAAAGCGCGCGCAGGCGGUCUGUCAAGUCGGAUGUGAAAUCCCCGGGCUCAACCUGGGAACUGCAUUCGAAACUGGCAGGCUAGGGUCUUGUAGAGGGGGGUAGAAUUCCAGGUGUAGCGGUGAAAUGCGUAGAGAUCUGGUGGAAUACCGGUGGCGAAGGCGGCCCCCUGGACAAAGACUGACGCUCAGGUGCGAAAGCGUGGGGAGCAAACGGGAUUAGAUACCCGCGUAGUC
This 465-nucleotide ribosomal RNA is filed under the name uncultured bacterium. Its description in RNAcentral is "bacterial SSU rRNA". It matches the Rfam family "Bacterial small subunit ribosomal RNA", at positions 338 to 795 of the family's 1533-position model. The record is from RNAcentral.